UUAAUCACACCAGUGCUUUGGCAACUGCUGAGCAGGGCUGGUGCAGCAUCUGCAUUGUCAGCUUCGUCCCAUGAAUCGGGGGCAAGAUCAUGGGAGGCGAUACAGACAGGGUCUCAUGGAACCAAAGGACUGCUGGGAGACUGGGGGAACUCAUGGAAUCAAGUGGCCGUCGUGGCACUGCCCUGCCUCAUAGAAGCAAAUGUUCCCUGGGAAACUACAGAAACCAGGGACUUAAGGGACAUCAUUGGGAUGUGCGGGACCUCAUGGAAUUAAACAAACCGUGGGAUAUCUUUGGAACUUCAUGGAAUCAAAGGGAUA
Long non-coding RNA from Manacus vitellinus (golden-collared manakin), 318 nucleotides. RefSeq lists it as uncharacterized. NCBI's taxonomy places the organism in Eukaryota, Metazoa, Chordata, Aves, Passeriformes, Pipridae. The record is from RefSeq and is a predicted model, not a curated record. The transcript is spliced from 2 exons.